Non-coding RNA from Paramuricea clavata, 444 nucleotides. Lineage: Eukaryota; Metazoa; Cnidaria; Anthozoa; Malacalcyonacea; Plexauridae. The record is from the annotation of a GenBank genome assembly.
CACGAGAUUGCGUGGGAAAACUCUAAAGUAAUUACCACAAACAAUCGCUAUGGUCAAAGACUUUGCCUAGAAGCGUGGCAUAUAAAUAUGAGUCAUCAUGCUUUGAAUAGGGAUGACGGCGCCUAUUUGCCAGAAGAAUAUAUGCAUCUUCUUGGCAGGUGACGUCAUCCCUUGGGUAUUUGGGAAGACACGAUCGCAGUUUUAGAUCACCCCUGAUGAAGACACUAGACUGGAGUGUCGAAACGUUGGGUCUUGAUUACAAUUCGACUGGGCUUUGUAAUCAUUUAUUUAAACCAGAGUAGCGAGCGAAACAUGAUUGAUAUACCUGGUUGCAGUGAACGAACAAACUUUAUACUAGAACUUAAUAACAUUUUGUCAAAUGAACUUAAAAGUUUCCAUUUUGUUUUCCUUUACAAAAAAGUUAUCGAUGAAUGCACAAAGUUG